CUUUAAUAAGAAGCAAAAAUUGCAUUUAGUUUCGACCUAAAAGUUUGAUGUUUAACAUCCUUAUUUG
RNAcentral lists this transfer RNA (67 nucleotides) under Massicus raddei. Its description in RNAcentral is "tRNA-Arg". The record is from RNAcentral. Lineage: Eukaryota; Metazoa; Arthropoda; Insecta; Coleoptera; Cerambycidae.